This 1091-nucleotide ribosomal RNA is filed under the name Megadyptes antipodes (Yellow-eyed penguin). Its description in RNAcentral is "partial 16S ribosomal RNA". It matches the Rfam family "Bacterial large subunit ribosomal RNA", at positions 1332 to 2645 of the family's 2925-position model. The record is from RNAcentral. Lineage: Eukaryota; Metazoa; Chordata; Aves; Sphenisciformes; Spheniscidae.
UGCCUGUGAGACGAAUCUAAGUUCUCUCUUAAUUUUCCUUCCCGGACAAUCUUAACCACCAUGUGAUAAAUCAAGAGCAAUUUAAAGGAGGUACAGCUCCUUUAAAAAAGAAUACAAUCUCCCCUAGCGGAUAACUAUCCAAGCACCCCCAAACUGUAGGCCCUCAAGCAGCCACCAACAGAGAAUGCGUCAAAGCUCUCCCCCAAAAAAAGAUUAAAAAACAGCAGGACUCCCUUAAUCUAUAACAGGCUAACCUAUAACAAUAGGAGAAUCAAUGCUAAAAUGAGUAAUCGGGGGUCACCCUCCAAAGCGCAAACUUACAUUCCCUACAUUAUUAACAGACCCUAAACUAAUACUCCUAACCCAACAAGCCAAGUAUUAAAUUCACUCUGUUAGCCCAACCCAGGAGCGCCCAUUAGAAAGAUUCAAAUCUGCAAAAGGAACUAGGCAAUCCCAAGGCCCGACUGUUUACCAAAAACAUAGCCUUCAGCCAACCAAGUAUUGGAGGUGAUGCCUGCCCAGUGACACCCAGUUUAACGGCCGCGGUAUCCUAACCGUGCGAAGGUAGCGCAAUCAAUUGUCCCAUAAAUCGAGACUUGUAUGAAUGGCUAAACGAGGUCUUAACUGUCUCUUGCAGACAAUCAAUGAAAUUGAUCUCCCUGUGCAAAAGCAGGAAUAAACCCAUAAGACGAGAAGACCCUGUGGAACUUAAAAAUCAGCGACCACUACACACAACCCAAAACCUACUAGGCCCAUGACCCUCACAGAACACUGGUCCGCAUUUUUCGGUUGGGGCGACCUUGGAGAAAAACAAAUCCUCCAAAAACAAGAUCAAUAAAUCUUAACCAAGAACAACUCCUCAACGUACUAACAGUAACCAGACCCAAUAUAAUUGACCAAUGGACCAAGCUACCCCAGGGAUAACAGCGCAAUCCCCUCCGAGAGCCCAUAUACAAGGGGGUUUACGACCUCGAUGUUGGAUCAGGACAUCCUAAUGGUGCAGCCGCUAUUAAGGGUUCGUUUGUUCAACGAUUAACAGUCCUACGUGAUCUGAGUUCAGACCGGAGCAAUCCAGGUCGGUUUCUAUCUAU